UACGUAGGGUCCGAGCGUUGUCCGGAAUUACUGGGCGUAAAGAGCUCGUAGGUGGUUUGUCGCGUUGUUCGUGAAAACUCACAGCUCAACUGUGGGCGUGCGGGCGAUACGGGCAGACUAGAGUACUGCAGGGGAGACUGGAAUUCCUGGUGUAGCGGUGGAAUGCGCAGAUAUCAGGAGGAACACCGGUGGCGAAGGCGGGUCUCUGGGCAGUAACUGACGCUGGAGGAGCGAAAGCGUGGGG
RNAcentral lists this ribosomal RNA (244 nucleotides) under uncultured bacterium. RNAcentral describes it as "partial 16S ribosomal RNA". It matches the Rfam family "Bacterial small subunit ribosomal RNA", at positions 524 to 766 of the family's 1533-position model. The record is from RNAcentral.